RNAcentral lists this ribosomal RNA (726 nucleotides) under Comamonas sp. SMCC B0607. RNAcentral describes it as "bacterial SSU rRNA". It matches the Rfam family "Bacterial small subunit ribosomal RNA", at positions 23 to 746 of the family's 1533-position model. Lineage: Bacteria; Pseudomonadati; Pseudomonadota; Betaproteobacteria; Burkholderiales; Comamonadaceae. The record is from RNAcentral.
CUCAGAUUGAACGCUGGCGGCAUGCUUUACACAUGCAAGUCGAACGGUAACAGGUCUUCGGAUGCUGACGAGUGGCGAACGGGUGAGUAAUACAUCGGAACGUGCCUAGUAGUGGGGGAUAACUACUCGAAAGAGUAGCUAAUACCGCAUGAGAUCUACGGAUGAAAGCAGGGGACCUUCGGGCCUUGUGCUACUAGAGCGGCUGAUGGCAGAUUAGGUAGUUGGUGGGGUAAAGGCUUACCAAGCCUGCGAUCUGUAGCUGGUCUGAGAGGACGACCAGCCACACUGGGACUGAGACACGGCCCAGACUCCUACGGGAGGCAGCAGUGGGGAAUUUUGGACAAUGGGCGAAAGCCUGAUCCAGCAAUGCCGCGUGCAGGAUGAAGGCCCUCGGGUUGUAAACUGCUUUUGUACGGAACGAAAAGCUCUGGGCUAAUACCCCGGAGUCAUGACGGUACCGUAAGAAUAAGCACCGGCUAACUACGUGCCAGCAGCCGCGGUAAUACGUAGGGUGCAAGCGUUAAUCGGAAUUACUGGGCGUAAAGCGUGCGCAGGCGGUUUUGUAAGACAGUGGUGAAAUCCCCGGGCUCAACCUGGGAACUGCCAUUGUGACUGCAAAGCUAGAGUGCGGCAGAGGGGGAUGGAAUUCCGCGUGUAGCAGUGAAAUGCGUAGAUAUGCGGAGGAACACCGAUGGCGAAGGCAAUCCCCUGGGCCUGCACUGACGC